This 1439-nucleotide ribosomal RNA is filed under the name uncultured organism. RNAcentral describes it as "SSU rRNA". It matches the Rfam family "Bacterial small subunit ribosomal RNA". The record is from RNAcentral.
AGCUACAGGCUUAACACAUGCAAGUCGAGGGGCAUCAGGAAGAAAGCUUGCUUUCUUUGCUGGCGACCGGCGCACGGGUGAGUAACACGUAUCCAACCUGCCCUUUACUCGGGGAUAGCCUUUCGAAAGAAAGAUUAAUACCCGAUAGCAUAAUGAUUCCGCAUGGUUUCAUUAUUAAAGGAUUCCGGUAAAGGAUGGGGAUGCGUUCCAUUAGGUUGUUGGUGAGGUAACGGCCCACCAAGCCUUCGAUGGAUAGGGGUUCUGAGAGGAAGGUCCCCCACAUUGGAACUGAGACACGGUCCAAACUCCUACGGGAGGCAGCAGUGAGGAAUAUUGGUCAAUGGGCGCUAGCCUGAACCAGCCAAGUAGCGUGAAGGAUGAAGGCUCUAUGGGUCGUAAACUUCUUUUAUAUAAGAAUAAAGUGCAGUAUGUAUACUGUUUUGUAUGUAUUAUAUGAAUAAGGAUCGGCUAACUCCGUGCCAGCAGCCGCGGUAAUACGGAGGAUCCGAGCGUUAUCCGGAUUUAUUGGGUUUAAAGGGAGCGUAGGUGGACUGGUAAGUCAGUUGUGAAAGUUUGCGGCUCAACCGUAAAAUUGCAGUUGAUACUGUCAGUCUUGAGUACAGUAGAGGUGGGCGGAAUUCGUGGUGUAGCGGUGAAAUGCUUAGAUAUCACGAAGAACUCCGAUUGCGAAGGCAGCUCACUGGACUGCAACUGACACUGAUGCUCGAAAGUGUGGGUAUCAAACAGGAUUAGAUACCCUGGUAGUCCACACAGUAAACGAUGAAUACUCGCUGUUUGCGAUAUACAGUAAGCGGCCAAGCGAAAGCAUUAAGUAUUCCACCUGGGGAGUACGCCGGCAACGGUGAAACUCAAAGGAAUUGACGGGGGCCCGCACAAGCGGAGGAACAUGUGGUUUAAUUCGAUGAUACGCGAGGAACCUUACCCGGGCUUAAAUUGCAGUGGAAUGAUGUGGAAACAUGUCAGUGAGCAAUCACCGCUGUGAAGGUGCUGCAUGGUUGUCGUCAGCUCGUGCCGUGAGGUGUCGGCUUAAGUGCCAUAACGAGCGCAACCCUUAUCUUUAGUUACUAACAGGUUAUGCUGAGGACUCUAGAGAGACUGCCGUCGUAAGAUGUGAGGAAGGUGGGGAUGACGUCAAAUCAGCACGGCCCUUACGUCCGGGGCUACACACGUGUUACAAUGGGGGGUACAGAAGGCAGCUAGCGGGUGACCGUAUGCUAAUCCCAAAAUCCUCUCUCAGUUCGGAUCGAAGUCUGCAACCCGACUUCGUGAAGCUGGAUUCGCUAGUAAUCGCGCAUCAGCCACGGCGCGGUGAAUACGUUCCCGGGCCUUGUACACACCGCCCGUCAAGCCAUGGGAGCCGGGGGUACCUGAAGUACGUAACCGCAAGGAUCGUCCUAGGGUAAAACUGGUGACUGGGG